Molecule: ribosomal RNA, 662 nt
Filed under: Staphylococcus epidermidis
Lineage: Bacteria; Bacillati; Bacillota; Bacilli; Caryophanales; Staphylococcaceae
Description: partial 23S ribosomal RNA
Rfam family: Bacterial large subunit ribosomal RNA
Source: RNAcentral
GAUUAAGUUAUUAAGGGCGCACGGUGGAUGCCUUGGCACUAGAAGCCGAUGAAGGACGUUACUAACGACGAUAUGCUUUGGGUAGCUGUAAGUAAGCGUUGAUCCAGAGAUUUCCGAAUGGGGGAACCCAGCAUGAGUUAUGUCAUGUUAUCGACAUGUGAAUUCAUAGCAUGUCAGAAGGCAGACCCGGAGAACUGAAACAUCUUAGUACCCGGAGGAAGAGAAAGAAAAAUCGAUUCCCUGAGUAGCGGCGAGCGAAACGGGAAGAGCCCAAACCAACAAGCUUGCUUGUUGGGGUUGUAGGACACUCUAUACGGAGUUACAAAAGAACAUGUUAGACGAAUCAUCUGGAAAGAUGAAUCAAAGAAGGUAAUAAUCCUGUAGUCGAAAACAUAUUCUCUCUUGAGUGGAUCCUGAGUACGACGGAGCACGUGAAAUUCCGUCGGAAUCUGGGAGGACCAUCUCCUAAGGCUAAAUACUCUCUAGUGACCGAUAGUGAACCAGUACCGUGAGGGAAAGGUGAAAAGUACCCCGGAAGGGGAGUGAAAGAGAACUUGAAACCGUGUGCUUACAAGUAGUCAGAGCCCGUUAAUGGGUGAUGGCGUGCCUUUUGUAGAAUGAACCGGCGAGUUACGAUCUGAUGCAAGGUUAAGCAGCAAAUG